RNAcentral lists this ribosomal RNA (253 nucleotides) under uncultured prokaryote. Its description in RNAcentral is "partial 16S ribosomal RNA". It matches the Rfam family "Bacterial small subunit ribosomal RNA", at positions 525 to 777 of the family's 1533-position model. The record is from RNAcentral.
ACGUAGGGUGCAGGCGUUAAUCGGAAUUACUGGGCGUAAAGCGUGCGUAGGCGGUUUGUUAAGACAGGUGUGAAAUCCCCGGGCUCAACCUGGGAACUGCCUUUGUGACUGCAUGGCUAGAGUACGGUAGAGGGGGAUGGAAUUCCGCGUGUAGCAGUGAAAUGCGUAGAUAUGCGGAGGAACACCGAUGGCGAAGGCAAUCCCCUGGACCUGUACUGACGCUCAUGCACGAAAGCGUGGGGAGCAAACAGGA